RNAcentral lists this ribosomal RNA (627 nucleotides) under Staphylococcus muscae. Its description in RNAcentral is "bacterial LSU rRNA". It matches the Rfam family "Bacterial large subunit ribosomal RNA", at positions 2299 to 2925 of the family's 2925-position model. Lineage: Bacteria; Bacillati; Bacillota; Bacilli; Caryophanales; Staphylococcaceae. The record is from RNAcentral.
AACGGAGGCGCUCAAAGGUUCCCUCAGAAUGGUUGGAAAUCAUUCAAAGAGUGUAAAGGCAUAAGGGAGCUUGACUGCGAGACCUACAAGUCGAGCAGGGUCGAAAGACGGACUUAGUGAUCCGGUGGUUCCGCAUGGAAGGGCCAUCGCUCAACGGAUAAAAGCUACCCCGGGGAUAACAGGCUUAUCUCCCCCAAGAGUUCACAUCGACGGGGAGGUUUGGCACCUCGAUGUCGGCUCAUCGCAUCCUGGGGCUGUAGUCGGUCCCAAGGGUUGGGCUGUUCGCCCAUUAAAGCGGUACGCGAGCUGGGUUCAGAACGUCGUGAGACAGUUCGGUCCCUAUCCGUCGUGGGCGUAGGAAAUUUGAGAGGCGCUGUCCUUAGUACGAGAGGACCGGGAUGGACAUACCUCUGGUGUACCAGUUGUCGCGCCAGCGGCAUAGCUGGGUAGCUAUGUAUGGACGGGAUAAGUGCUGAAAGCAUCUAAGCAUGAAGCCCCCCUCGAGAUGAGAUUUCCCAACUUCGGUUAUAAGAUCCCUCAAAGAUGAUGAGGUUAAUAGGUUCGAGGUGGAAGCGUAGUGAUACGUGGAGCUGACGAAUACUAAUCGAUCGAAGACUUAAUCAAAUU